AUUGAACGCUGGCGGCAGGCUUAACACAUGCAAGUCGAACGAGUGGCGGACGGGUGAGUAAUGUCUGGGAAACUGCCUGAUGGAGGGGGAUAACUAGUGGAAAAGGUAGGCAAUACCGCAUACCAUCGGAUGGGCCCAGAUGGGAUGGGCUAGUGGGUGGGGGAAUGGCCUACCAGGGCGACGGUCCGUCACUGGUCUGAGAGGAAGAACAGUCACACUGGAACGGAGACACGGUCCAGACUCCUAGGGGAGGCAGCAGUGGGGAAUAUUGGACAAUGGGCGAAAGCCUGAGCCAGCCAUGCCGCGUGUGUGAAGAAGGUCUUCGGAUUGUAAAGCACUUUAAGUGGGGAGGCGUUACCAACAGAAAAAGCAACGGCUAACUACGUGCCAGCAGCCGCGGUAAUUC
This 406-nucleotide ribosomal RNA is filed under the name uncultured bacterium. RNAcentral describes it as "partial 16S ribosomal RNA". It matches the Rfam family "Bacterial small subunit ribosomal RNA", at positions 29 to 526 of the family's 1533-position model. The record is from RNAcentral.